Molecule: non-coding RNA, 750 nt
Organism: Chelonoidis abingdonii (Abingdon island giant tortoise)
Lineage: Eukaryota; Metazoa; Chordata; Testudines; Testudinidae
Source: RefSeq, a predicted model, not a curated record
AGCUCGAUAGCUAACGCUGAGCUGCCAGAGUAUGAUUGAUACCGGUGUGUGGCCCACGCCCCCAAGGGAAGUCUUCUUCCGCGUGGUGCCUAACCGAGAUGUUCUCCGACGGGACCCAACGGGGCGGGGCGCUGGGCUUUCUACUUCGCCUGCAGCCUGUUGUCCUCAAGGCUCUGUGCACCAAGGUCCCCGAGCUGGUACGGACCAUCGUGGGCUGGACAUUGGAGUACCUCCGGGAUCAUGUGCUGGCCUGGAUCCAGGCCCAGGGAGGAUGGGACGGUCUCCUCUCCUACUUCGGCACACCCACCUGGCAGACCAUCACCAUCUUCGCCGCCGGCGUGCUCACCGCCUCCCUCACCAUCUGGAAGAUGUCGUAGGGCGGGGUUGGGGUGUGCUCCGUGGCACCCCACGUCUGGCCGGACUGCGCUGGGCUCCCCGGGGGCUGGCUCCCCUCGUCCAGCCUCACUCCCUUCCCAAUUCUUGGUGCCUUGUGCUCAACUCAGAACAAACCUUUGGGACCCCGUGCUGCGCCUCCCUGAUGGGGACCAACGUCGGGGGACAUGGCCGCUUCGUGGGGUGGGACGCCCUCCUGCAUCUUGGGCAGAGACUUGAGAGGCUUUGAGCCCCACCCGGGGCUGGUCGGCAUUUAAUUUCCUGAUGGGCUGGCUGCCCGCGGGGAAUCCUGAGCCAAGGUCGCAGGAGCCAGAGGCGGUUCCGGGGGCUGAACUUGGGCCGAGGUUGUGGGGGCCA